UGUCGUCAGCUCGUGUCGUGAGAUGUUGGGUUAAGUCCCGCAACGAGCGCAACCCUUAUCGUUAGUUAUUUUGUCUAACGAGACUGCCAACGCAAGUUGGAGGAAGGUGGGGAUGACGUCAAAUCAUCAUGCCCCUUAUGUCUAGGGCCACAAACGUGCUACAAUGGUCGGUACAAACAGUCGCUAAUUCGUAAGAUAGAGCUAAUCUGUAAAGCCGAUCUCAGUUCGGAUAGAGGGCUGAAAUUCGCCCUCUUGAAGUUGGAAUCACUAGUAAUCGCGAAUCAGCCAUGUCGCGGUGAAUACGUUCUCGGG
Molecule: ribosomal RNA, 312 nt
Filed under: uncultured bacterium
Lineage: Bacteria
Description: bacterial SSU rRNA
Rfam family: Bacterial small subunit ribosomal RNA
Source: RNAcentral